AUUGAACGCUGGCGGCAGGCCUAACACAUGCAAGUCGAGCGGAGCGGCGGACGGGUGAGUAAUGCCUAGGAAUCUGCCUGGUAGUGGGGGAUAACGUCCGGAAACGGGCGCUAAUACCGCAUACUAUCAGAUGAGCCUAGGUCGGAUUAGCUAGUUGGUGGGGUAAAGGCCUACCAAGGCGACGAUCCGUAACUGGUCGGCGAGGAAGAUCAGUCACACUGGAACUGUGACACGGUCCAGACUCCUACGGGCGGCAGCAGUGGGGAUUAUUGGACAAUGGGCGAAAGCCUUAUACGGCCAGGCCGCUGGUGUGAAGAAGUUCUUCGGAUUGUAAAGCACUUUAAGUUGGGAGGCGUUACCAACAGAAUAAGCACCGGCUAACUCCGUGCCAGCAGCCGCGGUAAUUC
RNAcentral lists this ribosomal RNA (407 nucleotides) under uncultured bacterium. RNAcentral describes it as "partial 16S ribosomal RNA". It matches the Rfam family "Bacterial small subunit ribosomal RNA", at positions 30 to 526 of the family's 1533-position model. The record is from RNAcentral.